CCUGAGGAAGGCUCGUCCGCUCAGGGUUAGUCAGGACCUAAGCCGAGGCCGACAGGCGUAGGCGAUGGACAACAGGUUGAUAUUCCUGUACCACCUCUUUAUCGUUUGAGCAAUGGAGGGACGCAGAAGGAUAGAAGAAGCGUGCGAUUGGUUGUGCACGUCCAAGCAGUUAGGCUGAUAAGUAGGCAAAUCCGCUUAUCGUGAAGGCUGAGCUGUGAUGGGGAAGCUCCUUAUGGAGCGAAGUCUUUGAUUCCCCGCUGCCAAGAAAAGCUUCUAGCGAGAUAAAAGGUGCCUGUACCGCAAACCGACACAGGUAGGCGAGGAGAGAAUCCUAAGGUGUGCGAGAGAACUCUGGUUAAGGAACUCGGCAAAAUGACCCCGUAACUU
This 387-nucleotide ribosomal RNA is filed under the name Arcobacter sp. F155. RNAcentral's name for it is "partial 23S ribosomal RNA". It matches the Rfam family "Bacterial large subunit ribosomal RNA", at positions 1354 to 1736 of the family's 2925-position model. The record is from RNAcentral. Lineage: Bacteria; Pseudomonadati; Campylobacterota; Epsilonproteobacteria; Campylobacterales; Arcobacteraceae.